This 256-nucleotide ribosomal RNA is filed under the name uncultured bacterium. RNAcentral describes it as "partial 16S ribosomal RNA". It matches the Rfam family "Bacterial small subunit ribosomal RNA", at positions 524 to 778 of the family's 1533-position model. The record is from RNAcentral.
UACGUAGGGUCCGAGCGUUGUCCGGAAUUAUUGGGCGUAAAGGGCUCGUAGGCGGUUUGUCGCGUCGGGAGUGAAAACUCAGGGCUUAACCCUGAGCGUGCUUCCGAUACGGGCAGACUAGAGGGAUGCAGGGGAGAACGGAAUUCCUGGUGUAGCGGUGGAAUGCACAGAUAUCAGGAGGAACACCGGUGGCGAAGGCGGGUCUCUGGGCCACUACGUGACGCUGAGAAGCGAAAGCAUGGGGAGCGAACGAGGA